RNAcentral lists this ribosomal RNA (427 nucleotides) under uncultured bacterium. RNAcentral describes it as "bacterial SSU rRNA". It matches the Rfam family "Bacterial small subunit ribosomal RNA", at positions 355 to 775 of the family's 1533-position model. The record is from RNAcentral.
UAGGGAAUCUUCCGCAAUGGACGCAAGUCUGACGGAGCAACGCCGCGUGAGUGAUGAAGGUUUUCGGAUCGUAAAGCUCUGUUGCCAGGGAAGAACGUCCGGUAGAGUAACUGCUACCGGAGUGACGGUACCUGAGAAGAAAGCCCCGGCUAACUACGUGCCAGCAGCCGCGGUAAUACGUAGGGGGCAAGCGUUGUCCGGAAUUAUUGGGCGUAAAGCGCGCGCAGGCGGCUAUUUAAGUCUGGUGUUUAAACCUUGGGCUCAACCUGAGGUCGCACUGGAAACUGGGUGGCUUGAGUACAGAAGAGGAAAGUGGAAUUCCACGUGUAGCGGUGAAAUGCGUAGAUAUGUGGAGGAACACCAGUGGCGAAGGCGACUUUCUGGGCUGUAACUGACGCUGAGGCGCGAAAGCGUGGGGAGCAAACAG